Molecule: unclassified non-coding RNA, 639 nt
Filed under: Nekemias cantoniensis
Lineage: Eukaryota; Viridiplantae; Streptophyta; Magnoliopsida; Vitales; Vitaceae
Description: partial contains small subunit ribosomal RNA, internal transcribed spacer 1, 5.8S ribosomal RNA, internal transcribed spacer 2, and large subunit ribosomal RNA
Rfam family: 5.8S ribosomal RNA (bases 356-511)
Source: RNAcentral
AUCAUUUAGAGGAAGGAGAAGUCGUAACAAGGUUUCCAUAGGUGAACCUGCUGAAGGAUCAUUGUCGAACCUCUUCACCGCAGAAAGACCUGCGAACACGUUACAAACCCCCCUGGGGGCCGAGCAGGGGCGCAAGCUCGACGCUCUGCCCCCCGUCGGGAGGCCUCGGGGAGCCCUCCUGCUUGCCACCACACCUUAAGGGCGGCCCGGGCGGGGGGCUCCCAUUGGCCCCUCUCGAACAAUCAAGAACCCUGGCGCGGAAAGCGUUAAGAAACUCUAACAAAGCAACGCACCCCCUUCAACCCGGCCUCGGGCGCGCGGGUGAGGCGUCGUUGUUUUCUCAAAAACUAGAAACGACUCUCGGCAACAGAUAUCUAGGUUGUCGCAUCGAUGAAGAACGUAGCAAAAUGCGAUACUUGGUGUGAAUUAUAGAAUCUCGUGCAUCAUCGAGUCUUUAAACGCAAGUUGCGCCUGAAGCCAUUAGGUCGAGGGCAUGCCUUCCUGGGCAUCACCCACUGAGGGGGGAACAGCUUGGUGUGCGUGUGCCACGUCGCCCCGGGGCCCCACUCAUCGAAAGGCUCUUUACCCUUCACAGUGACCCUAGGUCAGGAAGGACCACCCGUUGAGUUGAAGCAUAUC